Molecule: transfer RNA, 67 nt
Filed under: Marmota monax (woodchuck)
Lineage: Eukaryota; Metazoa; Chordata; Mammalia; Rodentia; Sciuridae
Description: tRNA.Thr
Source: RNAcentral
GGAUGUGGCUCAGGGGCAGAGCACUUGCCCAGUGUGCGCAAGGCCCGGGGUUCAAUCCCCAGCACCA